GUGACGAGCCGAGCUCAGGGACAACACAUCCAGACUUCUCAGAAAUGCCUGUGGGGAGAGGACAUGUUUUUCAGUCCCGUCCAAAGAUGGGGAUUGGACCACACAGCGUGGCUGAAGAGGGGCGGCAUUCCCAAGAAAGCCCUCAGCAGACUGUGCCUCCCACUCCACACCAGCAUUGCCCAACACGUCCAGGCCCUGAAGCCAAGAAGCCCUGGAAGGAAUCCACCUCCCUUCUUCAACACGCUGGGCGCGAAGCCGGGAGGGAGCGCGUUGUGACCUUCCCAGGGUGCUGCUCCCAUCCCCAGUAGCACAUGGAGCAGGCCACCUGGCUCUGGAAGUGGGACCUAGCCCUUUCCAUCCAACGUGACUGGAGUGAGAGAAUCGCGUGGGUUUCGUUACCGACUAGGGUCCCGACUGACAGAGCCUGAGCAAAGUUCAUUGUCUGUUUCUUCUGUUCAUGAGUGUUUUGUUGACAUGUAUGUCUGUGCACUAUGUGUGUCUGGUACCCAUGGAGCCCAGAAGAGGGCAUCAGAUCCCUGGAACUGGAGUUACAGACUGCUGUGAACCACCACGGGGGUGUGUGGAAUGGAACCCAGGUUCUUGGCAAGAGCAGCCAGUGUUCCUGAGCACUGAGCCAGCCCUCUGGCUGCAGCAGAGCUCACGGUAACGAUGAGGAUGUGCCCGGAAGCCAUGGGGUGAGAGGAACUGGGAACAGUGGCUGCAUAGGGGUCCUUUGUCGUCUCUCUUACAUAACCAGCUGUGUGUGGUCGCUAUGAGACCAAGGCAGGUCCUUCUAUCUCGUUCUCUUCCAUCUUCCACCUAGCUCUUGUCUGCACAGUUCAAACUCAUGCCCAGGAUAUUACAUUUCAAGCAGUAAAAUGGAGAGAAGGUAAGGAAAAGAUCCCGGAGCCCAGCGGUGGUGGUGCACACUUUUAAUGCCAGCACUCGGGAGGCAGAGGCAGGCAGAUCUCUGUGAGUUCAAGGCCAGCCUGGUUUACUUAGUGAGUUCCAGGACAGCCAGGGCUACACAAAGAAACUCUGUAUCAAAAACAAACAAACAAAAGAUCAAGUGUCCCCCACACAUGCCCACUCACCUUUAAGGUGAGGAUUUAAAAGCAGGUCACAUGAAGUCCGCUCAUAGCUUUUGUACUGAAGUAGCAUAUUUAAUUUCAAAGGAUGCUAGGAAUGUAGUCCUUAACUGGAUGGGCUAGCGCCUAGCUUCAAACCAAUUUGUACGAAAAAAGAGAAUUGAUAUUGGAUCCAAUUAGGAUCUGACCCAACAGCUCAGAUGAACCCACGGCUACAAAUACAGCUGUUGGCAGCUGUCAGGGUAACAGAUGAGACACUCGAGGUAGAAAGGGGCCACACAGUAAAACUGUCCACAGUUUCAUCCACAAGGCCACAAGCCACUUGAAGUGCCGUGUUAAGUGUUUCCUGCACAGCCUCCUGCUGGCCUCACAUUUUGAUGGUAAGCUGCUUCUCCGUGGCAGCAGGCCCGUGUCCCCGAAAGGAGGCUGCUCUAAGCCCCCCUCUCCCUCUCUGCCAGCCCUCACCCUGAUUACACAAAAGGUCCUACCCUACUCACUAAGAGCUCACUAAGGCUCAGGGGUUAAGGGCACUGACUGUUCUUCCAGAGGACCCAGGUUCAAAUCCCAGCACCCAUAUGGCAGCUAACAACUGUCUGUAACUGCAGUUCCAGGGAUCUGACUCCCUUACACAGACAUACAUGUGGGCAAAACAUAAAAUACAAAUAAAUAAAUUAUUUAAAAAAAAAAAAAAAAGAGUCUAGCUUCCUGGCCCACCCCAGGCCAGGGCAGCAGGGACAGACAAAGCCCUGGCACAAAGCUUCCCCGAAGUCUGGGUGAGGCAAUCUGAUAGCUGAAGUCUGGGUCCCUCUACCUUUACCUAUCCCAAACAGGAGUCCUCUCUGUGGCCUCUUCCCAUGGCAAGGGAACCCAAAUUCUAGUCGGUGGGAAUCUCAGAGGCCAUUUCCCUCUCCAAUUGUAGAAGGUGAAUCUGGGCAUGGUGACACCCACCUGUGAUCCAGCACCAAAGAGGCUGAAGGAGGAAGGAUCAACAGCAGUUCAAGGUCAGCCUGAGCUCCAGGGGAGACACUGUCUCUCUGAACAGAUGACUCAGCAUGAGACUUGAGCUUGAUCCCCAGAACUGGGGAGGUGAGGGAGGGAUCCAGGCUGAGUGGCACGCACCUGUAAUUCCAAUGCUGGGGAUACCGAGUCAGGCAAUCCCUGGGCCUUGCUCACCAGCCAGCCCUGACACCUUGGUGAGUUCCAGAUCAGUGAGAAGCCCUGACUCCAAAACAAGGUCAACAACAUCUGAGGAAUGACACCCAACACAUGCACACACCUGCACAUGCACACACACACAAGAACAAGGGCCCGGCCAGGCCAUCCCCUCACCAAUGUGCAACCGAAGACACGUCACAAGACCACCCCUGGCCUCAGUUUCCUCCCCCCAGGUCCCUGCAGAGAUCCGGGUAGAUGCUCACUUAGCACUGAAGCUGGCUGGAGGUUUAUACCCAGUGCGCGUAUUGGUUCCAUUAACAGUCCCUAUUACUGGGCCGACAAGAUGGCUCAGUGGGUAAAGGCGCUUGCUGCCAAGCUUGAUGACCCAAGUUCAAUUCCCAGGACCCACAUGGCAGGAGAGAACUGACUCCUGCAAGUUGCCCUGUUUUAGGACAGGCCGUCGUUGGUCUCUCCCAGAAUGAUAGGGCAAGAUUAUAUGUUAUCUUCAAAGAAACUGCUCUAACAAUAAUAAAAUGCCACCCCCCCUGCCCCGAGGCUCGUGUGUGGGGAUACUUGGUUCCCAGCUGGUGGCAUUAUUUGGGUGUUGUGGAACCUUUGGGAGGUAUGGUCUGGCUGGUGAACAUCAGAUCUCUUGGAAUGAGCACUGUGGGUUAUAGCCUGACCCUGUUUCGGGUCCUGUCUCUGCUUCCUGACCUGCCAGGAUGUGAGAAGCUGCAUGCCCAAGCACCCACUGGCCAGGGGACACUGCCUCUCCCACUAUGAUGGACUGUAUUGUUUUCUUCCCUGGAAUUGCGUGAAUCGCAUGAAUCGCGU
Peromyscus maniculatus bairdii (prairie deer mouse) is the source of this 3077-nucleotide non-coding RNA. Lineage: Eukaryota; Metazoa; Chordata; Mammalia; Rodentia; Cricetidae. The record is from RefSeq and is a predicted model, not a curated record.